UUAAAAAACUUUGAGAGAAAGCCCAAAAAGGACAAUAUCUGCUAGCGGGGCCAGGGCCGUUACACAGUUUUAGGAGAAAUUCCUCUGAUUUGGAGAUUGAAAAUUCUAGUUCACUCUUUUUUUAUUUAUUUAUUUAUUUUUAUUUUAUCAAAAAGAUGUAACAAAUGGACCCUUGGAAUGGAUGGGGCCUUUUCCAUUAGUUCUCUAGUUCAAAAGUUGAGUGAAAAGGACGAAGGCAUUGGAAACUCCUUGGUUAAUUUCAUAUGGAAAUCUAAGGUCCCUAAAAAGGUUAAGGUCUUCUAUUGAUUUUUUCUCCUAGUUGGUGUCUUUUCUGCUAAAGGAAUGUGAAAGACAGUCCGACUUCUUUUUCGCUCCUACCCGUAUGCUUCUUCAUGCUAGAAUGCUCUGAGUUGCAACAUGUUCUCAAAGGGGCGAGAUAAUGGGUGAGUCCAUGGUUUUCUCUCUCUCUCUCUCUCUCGCAGUUUUGUUUUCCGAGACAAUGGGUUAGUCCAUGGGCGAGACAAGUAUAAACUAUCUUGCUCUCAAUUCUCCAUUUGUUUUCGGAGAGAUACAUGUUCUUUUGUAAUUCAAAAAGGCUAAAAUUCUAGAUGCUAAGUAAAUUUAAAUCUAGCUAAAUCUCUAGAUAUUAGGUAACAAUACAGAUAAAUAAAUAUCUAGAUACUAGGUAACAAUUUAGAAAAUUAGUGAGGUCAACUAUUUCCCUGAUUUAAAAUAAUUACAUAAAUAUCUCUUAACAUAAGAAUAGGAAUUACACAAAUAUUCCUUAAAUUAAGGUCAUUCCUUCCAUACUCCCCUCAAGCUGAUUAUCUAUUCCUACCUUGGACAUUAACUCAUGAAACAUUGAGCUAUGGAGUCAUUUUGUUAGUAUAUUUGCAAGUUGAAGUUGUGAAGGCACAUAAUUAAUUCAUUAUCCCCUUUAAUUUUUCCUUGGUAAAAUGUCGAUCAAUUUCAAUAUGUUUUGUUCUAUCAUGCUGGAUAGGAUUAUAUGCACUAUUGACAACUGAUUUGUUGUUGUCGUAUAACUUUAUUGGAUCUUCUCCCGUAAUCCAUAAGUCAUCAAGGAUUAUCUUCAACCAUAAGAGUUCACAGAGCUCUUAUGUAAUAACUUGGAAUUUUGAUUAAACAGAUGAUCUAGCCACCACAUUUUUGCUUUUUACUCAUUCAUGUUACCAAAUUACUCCAAGAAAAGUACGUACUUCGUGGUAGUUCUUCUAUCCACAAUUGAUCCAACAUAGUCAGCAUCGAAGCAAGCUUUCAAUGUAAGAAAAUUUUUCCGUUGAACAAAAUUUCUUUUCUUGAAGUUCAUUUUAGGUAACGUAAAAUCUAUAUGCUUGCUUGAAGUUGGGAGUAUGCUAUGUUUGGUCUAGUGUAAGCUAGAUAUAUGAGCCUCCCCACUAGCCUCUGGUUUACAUCUACUUUGCCUUGUUUCCAUCAAUAAAUCCAUCACAUAUUUCUAUUGUGAUAUGAAAAUGUCCCGAGUUAAGUGCACUACUUCAAUGGCAAGAAAGUACUCAAGUCUUCCAAGUUUUUUAAUCUCGAAUUCUUUCAUCAAUUUCCUUCUAAGUUCAAUUUUUUCUUAUUUAUUAUCUCCAUUGACUAUGAUGUUAUCUACAAAUACUAGAAAUAUUGCAACUCCCCUUGAUUUCGAAUGCUUGAUAAAGAGAAUGUGAUCUCUUUGAUUUUGUUUAUACCCACAAUCUUUCAUUACCAUCGUGACACACGGCUUCGCACGCUCCUGUCAUCAACAGUGGUCUACACUCCAUAACAAUAGAAUAACAUUGAAUGAGUAUAAAAAUACUUAGUAAGCAACCUACUUAUAGGCUCUUGUUGGACUUGAUCCUAUACACAGAAACUUAGGCUAUGUGCUCAUAACUGUCCCUAGCGAUGGAUAAAUUUUGGCUUAACGUCUGUACCAAACUUUGUAGGUCAUUGUGUAACUAACCUUCGAUGCCUUUCUAGAGGCAUAAUCACAUCGUGGAUUGUGACACAUAGCUUCGCACGCUCCUGCCAUCAAAAUUAGUCUACACUCCAUCUUAAAAAAAAAAAAAA
This is a long non-coding RNA of Cucurbita pepo subsp. pepo (vegetable marrow), 2070 nucleotides long. RefSeq lists it as uncharacterized. Lineage: Eukaryota; Viridiplantae; Streptophyta; Magnoliopsida; Cucurbitales; Cucurbitaceae. The record is from RefSeq and is a predicted model, not a curated record.